CCAUCAUCCUGACUCUUAAAGCUGCUCCUGGAUCAGCCACUUAGUGUCCUGUGGCCUGGAGUUUCCAAGCACCCCAGAGCUCUGCAAUCAUUUCCUCUCAGCUCAAACAGCUCACACCCCUUCCCUGGGGUCUCCGUGACAUACAGUAUUACUGACAACACAGGGUGUUUCAGCCUCAAGUCUUGGACUAGCUACUGAAUUCGAAGACCCAAAUAUUCACUUCACCACUUAGGUGAAAUAUGUACAAUGCCUUCUGAAUUGAAAAGUCUGGCACUGAAAGAGUGAGCUCUGCCUUCGACAACACUCAUGGAGUAGGAAUACACAGGCUGUGUCUUCACUAAUGGUUGGUGAUCAUUUUAACCGUGCACGUCUCUCAUCUUGGGCCAAUGUUAGUGCCAGGUGAUCUCAGAAACCACGAGACGAUGUUGUCACCAUCAGUCUAAGUCAGCGUGAAGCAGGAAUGCCACAUGACCAAAACAUCGCAUCAGUCUCUCAGCUACGUCUGAAAUAAACAUCUGUGAUGUGAGCCAUGAAAAUCUAUUUAUUUCUAGCAUUGGACUAAUUAAUUAAUAAAUCUCUUUAAUCUCCAAGUACAGAAAAUGCCAUGUAAAUUUGUCAUUACCCAGCUUGCAUUUUCUCUUGACAAUAUACUCAAGAGACACAUGUGGAGAAAAUCUAAAAAUAUAUUACACAAAGUAUUGAA
This is a long non-coding RNA of Microtus ochrogaster (prairie vole), 703 nucleotides long. RefSeq lists it as uncharacterized. Lineage: Eukaryota; Metazoa; Chordata; Mammalia; Rodentia; Cricetidae. The record is from RefSeq and is a predicted model, not a curated record. The transcript is spliced from 3 exons.